Molecule: ribosomal RNA, 609 nt
Filed under: bacterium UASWS0137
Lineage: Bacteria
Description: bacterial SSU rRNA
Rfam family: Bacterial small subunit ribosomal RNA
Source: RNAcentral
CGGCGGACGGGUGAGUAAUGCUUAGGAAUCUGCCUAUUAGUGGGGGACAACAUUCCGAAAGGGAUGCUAAUACCGCAUACGCCCUACAGGGGAAAGCAAGGGAUCUUCCGACCUUUGCCCUAAUAAUAUAACCCUAAUUCGAAUUACCUAUUUGUUGGGGUAAAGGCCUCCCUUGUGCCAAUCUUUAUCGAAGGCGACGAUCUGUAGCGGGUCUGAGAGGAUGAUCCGCCACACUGGGACUGAGACACGGCCCAGACUCCUACGGGAGGCAGCAGUGGGGAAUAUUGGACAAUGGGCGAAAGCCUGAUCCAGCCAUGCCGCGUGUGUGAAGAAGGCCUUUUGGUUGUAAAGCACUUUAAGCGAGGAGGAGGCUACUUAGAUUAAUACUCUAGGAUAGUGGACGUUACUCGCAGAAUAAGCACCGGCUAACUCUGUGCCAGCAGCCGCGGUAAUACAGAGGGUGCGAGCGUUAAUCGGAUUUACUGGGCGUAAAGCGUGCGUAGGCGGCUUUUUAAGUCGGAUGUGAAAUCCCUGAGCUUAACUUAGGAAUUGCAUUCGAUACUGGGAAGCUAGAGUAUGGGAGAGGAUGGUAGAAUUCCAGGUGUAGCG